UCCAUCUACCCCACCACUAUACUGUCUCAACAACCCGAAAUCCCUUUUCCUUGUCAACUAGCAGACGGCUGUGAGAAAGGAGGCAACUAGCAGCAAAUGAAUAUUUCUUGAUUUCUUAACACAUCUUCCACCAUAAUCAGAGGUAGUGUAAACUAGUGUUGCCUCUUUCUUCGACAGUAGAAGCGAAGUGGUAGUCUAUAUGACUCUUGAUCGCCAAUGACAAAAUAUACAGAUAGCAGCAGAUCUCGAAGACAUCAGCCCAUUCACAUCUCCCACAACUUGUAGCUAGUGGAAGACAGCAUUUUUCCCUUUCUGCUGCCAAAGAACACCAUUUUGACACAAGCAUAGAAGAAACGACCCUAGUCGUGUAAUAGUAACAUUGGUGCCAGCUAUAAACAAACCUCCUCCACAAUCACACCACUCUUCAACUGUGCGAGUGGACGGCACCAUGGAUCUAUUAUUUUCUCUGAUACAAGCUUUUCGGUUGAAGACGGUCUUUUCCUGAACUUGGGUACACCUUGUGGUUUAUCUAACUGAUUUUUUUUUCGUAUCUUACUACAGACGUCGCCCCAUGUCGCCAUACGGGGGACAUGGGACGUAAAAAUGGGAUCCUAUCAACUUGUUCUGACUUAGGAUAAUAAGCUCAUGAGCUUGGUCUUACUUCAACAUCGAGAAACGAAAGAAGACUGUCAUCUGAACUCGUCUAGCUUCAAUGCCUCUCACGUUCGGAGUUAGACUGGGGCCCGUAAGAAUGUACAAUGAAAUUUGUACGAAACGAAGAUAUUUUGUUGCUUGCAGGAUGGUCAUUGUCGAAAGGACACCGGAAUGGGAAGUGUUUCAUGAAACACGGCUGGAAGACACUAAUUUACUUGUUCAAUUCCAACUCCGGCCACAAUUGGAAUAAGCAACAACUAAAAAAUUGAUGGGAUGCUCUCCGCCUAAAACACAAAAGAUUCGAGGAAUUGUUGAAUUGCAGUAGUAUUGCAUACAACCCAUCAACUGGCAGAAUUUGUGCUUAUGGGGAGUGGUGGGCUCGAAAGAUCAAGGAGAACAAAGACUACAAAGAAUUUAAGGACAAAGACUGUCGAGUGGUGUACGGUUACAAGGCUCUAUUCGGCGACACGUCAGACAGUGAUAAGUAUGUAGUCACACCAACAAAGCUCUGUCGAACUAGCGUCGCGAUGUUUGAAGAUAGUAGAUAUGAAGACCAUGUGACAAGGUAUCAGCUGAUGUCGAUAGCAGCUGUUCAAGUGACGAGCCUGAAAAAAGAUAUGGCUAAAGCAAGCAUGGAUGUGUCGAUCCCGUACAACGGAGACAAAUGAAAAGCAGAUACCAGGAAGAAAAAUGAGGAGAAGAAAAAUUUCACUCUUGAUCUUUCCUACUUAGUUAAUCACGCACAAUGGCCGGUGAGAGGGACGCUACCAAAAUCGACAACUUCGUCAGACCUGUUGUGCCGUACCCAAAGACAUGUAUGAAAGAGUUAUUAGUGACUGGUAGACUGAAAAACAAACUGAUCUCUACUUAUGAAUGUGUACCUUCUUAUCUCGAAAGCGCAAAUGGGAGAUAUUGGACAUGUAGGACGAUGCGAAUGAAAAAUUUAAGUGGGUCGAGUGGAAUGACAGGAGUACCGAAAAGCAUAGUAGCGAUAAGAGCUUAAUGUGACAUUCGAAAUGGAGCCCCGUGAAAUUUGUUCCAUGAGAAAACAUUUGGUGGAAUUUCGUUAUGUUUUAAUUUUGUAUGUUUGAUAGACUGCUUCAUGCUAUGUAUAUGGUAGUGCUAAACACUUUGGUUCGCAUAUAUUGUCACCAUGCUUGCCUUCAAAGACUUUGAUUUGCAUA
Olea europaea var. sylvestris is the source of this 1838-nucleotide long non-coding RNA. RefSeq lists it as uncharacterized. Lineage: Eukaryota; Viridiplantae; Streptophyta; Magnoliopsida; Lamiales; Oleaceae. The record is from RefSeq and is a predicted model, not a curated record. The transcript is spliced from 2 exons.